This 3010-nucleotide ribosomal RNA is filed under the name Salmonella enterica subsp. enterica serovar Manhattan. RNAcentral's name for it is "bacterial LSU rRNA". It matches the Rfam family "Bacterial large subunit ribosomal RNA". Lineage: Bacteria; Pseudomonadati; Pseudomonadota; Gammaproteobacteria; Enterobacterales; Enterobacteriaceae. The record is from RNAcentral.
GGGUUGUGAGGUUAAGCGACUAAGCGUACACGGUGGAUGCCCUGGCAGUCAGAGGCGAUGAAGGGCGUGCUAAUCUGCGAUAAGCGCCGGUAAGGUGAUAUGAACCGUUAUAACCGGCGAUACCCGAAUGGGGAAACCCAGUGUGACUCGUCACACUAUCAUUAACUGAAUCCAUAGGUUAAUGAGGCGAACCGGGGGAACUGAAACAUCUAAGUACCCCGAGGAAAAGAAAUCAACCGAGAUUCCCCCAGUAGCGGCGAGCGAACGGGGAGGAGCCCAGAGCCUGAAUCAGCAUGUGUGUUAGUGGAAGCGUCUGGAAAGGCGCGCGAUACAGGGUGACAGCCCCGUACACAAAAGCGCAUGUGCUGUGAGCUCGAUGAGUAGGGCGGGACACGUGGUAUCCUGUCUGAAUAUGGGGGGACCAUCCUCCAAGGCUAAAUACUCCUGACUGACCGAUAGUGAACCAGUACCGUGAGGGAAAGGCGAAAAGAACCCCGGCGAGGGGAGUGAAAAAGAACCUGAAACCGUGUACGUACAAGCAGUGGGAGCACAGGUUUACCUGUGUGACUGCGUACCUUUUGUAUAAUGGGUCAGCGACUUAUAUUCUGUAGCAAGGUUAACCGAAUAGGGGAGCCGGAGGGAAACCGAGUCUUAACCGGGCGUUAAGUUGCAGGGUAUAGACCCGAAACCCGGUGAUCUAGCCAUGGGCAGGUUGAAGGUUGGGUAACACUAACUGGAGGACCGAACCGACUAAUGUUGAAAAAUUAGCGGAUGACCUGUGGCUGGGGGUGAAAGGCCAAUCAAACCGGGAGAUAGCUGGUUCUCCCCGAAAGCUAUUUAGGUAGCGCCUCGUGAAUUCAUCUCCGGGGGUAGAGCACUGUUUCGGCUAGGGGGCCAUCCCGGCUUACCAACCCGAUGCAAACUGCGAAUACCGGAGAAUGUUAUCACGGGAGACACACGGCGGGUGCUAACGUCCGUCGUGAAGAGGGAAACAACCCAGACCGCCAGCUAAGGUCCCAAAGUCAUGGUUAAGUGGGAAACGAUGUGGGAAGGCCCAGACAGCCAGGAUGUUGGCUUAGAAGCAGCCAUCAUUUAAAGAAAGCGUAAUAGCUCACUGGUCGAGUCGGCCUGCGCGGAAGAUGUAACGGGGCUAAACCAUGCACCGAAGCUGCGGCAGCGAACGUAUCACUUAAAGCGAUUCAGCGGGUUACGAUUGACGGAGCGAAGCGACGUCAAAGCGUAUACAAAGUCGAGUCGGUUUAAGGAUACGUUCGUUGGGUAGGGGAGCGUUCUGUAAGCCUGUGAAGGUGGCCUGUGAGGGUUGCUGGAGGUAUCAGAAGUGCGAAUGCUGACAUAAGUAACGAUAAAGCGGGUGAAAAGCCCGCUCGCCGGAAGACCAAGGGUUCCUGUCCAACGUUAAUCGGGGCAGGGUGAGUCGACCCCUAAGGCGAGGCCGAAAGGCGUAGUCGAUGGGAAACAGGUUAAUAUUCCUGUACUUGGUGUUACUGCGAAGGGGGGACGGAGAAGGCUAUGUUGGCCGGGCGACGGUUGUCCCGGUUUAAGCGUGUAGGUGUGUGUUCCAGGUAAAUCCGGUUCACUUUAACACUGAGGCGUGAUGACGAGGCACUACGGUGCUGAAGCAACAAAUGCCCUGCUUCCAGGAAAAGCCUCUAAGCAUCAGGUAACAUCAAAUCGUACCCCAAACCGACACAGGUGGUCAGGUAGAGAAUACCAAGGCGCUUGAGAGAACUCGGGUGAAGGAACUAGGCAAAAUGGUGCCGUAACUUCGGGAGAAGGCACGCUGACACGUAGGUGAAGUGAUUUACUCACGGAGCUGAAGUCAGUCGAAGAUACCAGCUGGCUGCAACUGUUUAUUAAAAACACAGCACUGUGCAAACACGAAAGUGGACGUAUACGGUGUGACGCCUGCCCGGUGCCGGAAGGUUAAUUGAUGGGGUCAGCGCAAGCGAAGCUCCUGAUCGAAGCCCCGGUAAACGGCGGCCGUAACUAUAACGGUCCUAAGGUAGCGAAAUUCCUUGUCGGGUAAGUUCCGACCUGCACGAAUGGCGUAAUGAUGGCCAGGCUGUCUCCACCCGAGACUCAGUGAAAUUGAACUCGCUGUGAAGAUGCAGUGUACCCGCGGCAAGACGGAAAGACCCCGUGAACCUUUACUAUAGCUUGACACUGAACAUUGAGCCUUGAUGUGUAGGAUAGGUGGGAGGCUUUGAAGCGUGGACGCCAGUCUGCGUGGAGCCGACCUUGAAAUACCACCCUUUAAUGUUUGAUGUUCUAACGUGGACCCGUAAUCCGGGUUGCGGACAGUGUCUGGUGGGUAGUUUGACUGGGGCGGUCUCCUCCUAAAGAGUAACGGAGGAGCACGAAGGUUGGCUAAUCCUGGUCGGACAUCAGGAGGUUAGUGCAAUGGCAUAAGCCAGCUUGACUGCGAGCGUGACGGCGCGAGCAGGUGCGAAAGCAGGUCAUAGUGAUCCGGUGGUUCUGAAUGGAAGGGCCAUCGCUCAACGGAUAAAAGGUACUCCGGGGAUAACAGGCUGAUACCGCCCAAGAGUUCAUAUCGACGGCGGUGUUUGGCACCUCGAUGUCGGCUCAUCACAUCCUGGGGCUGAAGUAGGUCCCAAGGGUAUGGCUGUUCGCCAUUUAAAGUGGUACGCGAGCUGGGUUUAGAACGUCGUGAGACAGUUCGGUCCCUAUCUGCCGUGGGCGCUGGAGAACUGAGGGGGGCUGCUCCUAGUACGAGAGGACCGGAGUGGACGCAUCACUGGUGUUCGGGUUGUCAUGCCAAUGGCACUGCCCGGUAGCUAAAUGCGGAAGAGAUAAGUGCUGAAAGCAUCUAAGCACGAAACUUGCCCCGAGAUGAGUUCUCCCUGAGACUUUAGGUCUCCUGAAGGAACGUUGAAGACGACGACGUUGAUAGGCCGGGUGUGUAAGCGCAGCGAUGCGUUGAGCUAACCGGUACUAAUGAACCGUGAGGCUUAACCUUACAACGCCGAAG